Molecule: ribosomal RNA, 407 nt
Filed under: uncultured bacterium
Lineage: Bacteria
Description: partial 16S ribosomal RNA
Rfam family: Bacterial small subunit ribosomal RNA
Source: RNAcentral
AUUGAACGCUGGCGGCAGGCCUAACACAUGCAAGUCGAGCGGAGCGGCGGACGGGUGAGUAAUGCCUAGGAAUCUGCCUGGUAGUGGGGGAUAACGUCCGGAAACGGGCGCUACUACCGCAUACUAUCAGAUGAGCCUCGGUCGGAUUAGCUAGUUGUUGGGGUAAAGGCCUACCAAGGCGACGAUCCGUAACUGGUCUGAGAGGAUGAUCAGUCAAACUGGAACGGGGACACGGCCCAGACUCCUAGGGGAGGCAGCAGAGGGGAAUAUUGGAAAAGGGGCGAAAGCCGGAUGAAGACAGGCCGCGGAUGUGAAGAAGGUCUUCGGAUUGAAAGGCACGUUAAGUUGGGAGGCGGUACCAAAAGAGUAAGGGCCGGCUAACUACGUGCCAGCAGCCGCGGUAAUUC